RNAcentral lists this ribosomal RNA (424 nucleotides) under uncultured bacterium. Its description in RNAcentral is "bacterial SSU rRNA". It matches the Rfam family "Bacterial small subunit ribosomal RNA", at positions 609 to 1029 of the family's 1533-position model. The record is from RNAcentral.
UCAACCGCGGAACUGCAUUCGAAACUACAGGGCUAGAGAACGAGAGGGGUAGAGGGAAUUCCCGGUGUAAGGGUGAAAUCUGCAGAGAUCGGGAAGAACACCAGUCGCGAAGGCGCUCUACUGGCUCGCUUCUGACGCUGAGGGACGAAAGCUAGGGGAGCCAACGGGAUUAGAUACCCCGGUAGUCCUAGCUGUAAACGAUGCUCACUAGGUGUUGGAGGGGUCUCCCCUUCGGUGCCGCAGCUAACGCAUUAAGUGAGCCGCCUGGGGAGUACGGUCGCAAGGUUGAAACUCAAAGGAAUUGACGGGGACCCGCACAAACGGUGGAGCAUGUGGUUUAAUACGACGAUACGCGUGGAACCUUACCCAGGCUUGACAUGCAUGUGAAAGCCCUAUGAAAGUAGGGCCCUCUCUUCGGAGACGC